This is a ribosomal RNA of Verticillium longisporum, 121 nucleotides long. The record is from Rfam. Lineage: Eukaryota; Fungi; Ascomycota; Sordariomycetes; Glomerellales; Plectosphaerellaceae.
ACAAACGACCAUACCUACUGGAGAACUCGGGAUCCCGUCCGCUCUCCCAUAGAUAAGCCAGUAAGGGUCGGACGAGUAGUUGGGUGGGUGACCACCAGCGAAUCCCUGAUGUAUGUUUUUU